Molecule: ribosomal RNA, 301 nt
Filed under: uncultured bacterium
Lineage: Bacteria
Description: partial 16S ribosomal RNA
Rfam family: Bacterial small subunit ribosomal RNA
Source: RNAcentral
CAGCCGCCGCGGGAAUACAGAGGGUGCGAGCGUUAAUCGGAUUUACUGGGCGUAAAGCGUGCGUAGGCGGCUUUUUAAGUCGGAUGUGAAAUCCCUGAGCUUAACUUAGGAAUUGCAUUCGAUACUGGGAAGCUAGAGUAUGGGAGAGGAUGGUAGAAUUCCAGGUGUAGCGGUGAAAUGCGUAGAGAUCUGGAGGAAUACCGAUGGCGAAGGCAGCCAUCUGGCCUAAUACUGACGCUGAGGUACGAAAGCAUGGGGAGCAAACAGGAUUAGAUACCCCAGUAGUCCCUGUCUCUUAUAU